Molecule: long non-coding RNA, 1782 nt
Organism: Mastomys coucha (southern multimammate mouse)
Lineage: Eukaryota; Metazoa; Chordata; Mammalia; Rodentia; Muridae
Exons: 2
Source: RefSeq, a predicted model, not a curated record
UGAGCUUCUUAUCCUUGUCAGGAAUGUGCUACCAUGUUUGCUGGGUGAUUGGUUAUCAGGAUGUAGCAAGCCUUAGCAUCAAUGAAACUACUAGAGUAAAAGUCCAGCAUGGAGGAAAGUUAUGGCGGCAUGUUGGAAGAUCCUGCUAUUAAGGCUGCAGUCCCCCAUGACUGGAUAACUCUCAGAGCUUGGAACAAAAUGGAAGACUCCCUUUCUCCGCAGGACUUCCCCUUCUCUGUCUUUGUCUGGAGAGCAUCUGUAGUCCCUAAGUGGUGAGCGAUGAGCCACAAAAUCCAUUAAUGUGAUCCAUGGCCAUCACCUCCUUCCUGCCCCAGCCUAUGGGCUGUGGUAAGAUGCCCCUGCAGGAGCUCUGAGCUCCUAUCAAAAUGGCAGCACCAUGACGCCUUCUUAGCCUGCAGCUGUCACAGAAGCUGUCCACAAUGGCAACAUCUUUCCUGCCUCAGCCUAUACAACCUUGGUGAAACACCACUGCGGAAGCUGUCCCACAGGAUUUGUCCACAAUGGCAGUACCUCCUCUCCAGCCUCUCCCAGCAGCUCCACAGAGAUGGCACCUCAGAGAAAGCUGGCUGUGGCUAUGAAGGACUUCCCACCCUAACCCAUAGAUCUGAUGCAGGGAAAAGGGGGUGAAAAAAAAGCCACCAAUCUGAGCAGAAAAAACACACCAUCCUCCAGAUUCCCACAAAACCCCACCAAUUCCUGAACAGGAAAAACCACCACUCCCCAAGCUCAGGACUUGAAAUCCCACCAAUCUUCAUUCUGGAAAUCUCUGUCUUGAGAAGCUCUGCCUCCUCAGAAAUCCUAUGUAAGCACUGCCCCUUUGUCAAGUUCCCUGCUAUCGGCUCCCAGGAGCAGAAGGCAGCCAUCCCUUGACUCAUCCCUCCACACCCUGGACCCUUCAGUAAAUCUCUUUCAUGAGAUUUUCUGCCUGGAGUGACUCUUGUUGGAAGAAGCCAGGAAGAAGAGAAGCGAAGAGAGAGAGCCGGGUUGAGGCUCCUGAGCUCCUCAGCUCAACCGGGGAUACCCUUCCCUGGGAGCUGCCCCACCUCUGAUGAGGAGUCAUGUUGAGGAGGCUCUUCUCAGAGCUGUGUGGUUACUGAGCUCCCAUGUCUCAGGAUGCCCUUCCACUGGCACAGUCUCAUCCCAGAGCUGGAAGGUUCCUGGAAGCUCCCGAGUCUCACUCAGGAUACCCUUCCACUGGGAUAUCUUCUCCUCUCAGAGCUGUAUGAUUCCUGGGGUUCUGAGUCCUAGGAUACCCUCCCAUUCGAGCAGAAACACAGGGUAACAUGGGAAGUCUUGGUGGGAGGAACAGGAAGAGGGGAAAUAAUGGAAUCAGAUUAUAAUCUCAAAAAAGAAAACCUACCUACCCUGCAAGGUUGUUCACAAAUUGCACACAAUUUUUGUCUCUUUGCUCAGCACUUGUCCACACUUACUGGACCUUCAUGUAAGUCUGUUGGCUUAUAGGCGAUCACAUUAGGUUCCUCCCAGGUACCUAACAAUAGCUUAUGUCACACCUGCUCCCAUUACCUGCUGCCAGAUCUGGGCUGCAUCUAAACCCCUGUUGGCUCUCUCUCCCUGUUCCCACAUGUUCCUGGCCAGUCCCUUUCCCUGUUCCCAUAUGUUCUUGGCUGGUCUCUCCCCAUUUCUGUCCUUUGUCCCCUCUUCCCUGCCUUCAUGGCUCUGCUCCCAUCUGUCUGCCUCUACCCCUUUUCUAGGUCCUCACUCCCUCCCCUCCCCUCCCCCCAAAUAAACCUUUAUAUAAUA